RNAcentral lists this ribosomal RNA (541 nucleotides) under uncultured bacterium. Its description in RNAcentral is "bacterial SSU rRNA". It matches the Rfam family "Bacterial small subunit ribosomal RNA", at positions 97 to 673 of the family's 1533-position model. The record is from RNAcentral.
GGCGCACGAGUGAGUAACGCGUGGGAAACUGCCCUUCACUGGGGAAUAACGUUUGGAAACGAACGCUAAUACCGCAUACGCCCGCAAGGGGAAAGAUUUAUCGGUGAUGGAUGUGCCCGCGUUGGAUUAGCUAGUUGGUGGGGUAACGGCCUACCAAGGCGAUGAUCCAUAGCUGGUCUGAGAGGACGAUCAGCCACGCUGGAUCUGAGACACGGUCCAGACUCCUACGGGAGGCAGCAGCUAAGAAUAUUGGGCAAUGGAGGAAACUCUGACCCAGCCAUGCCGCGUGGAUGAAGAAGGCCUUCGGGUUGUAAAGUUCUUUUAGUCAUGAAGAUGAUGACAGUAGUGACAGAAAAAGCACCGGCUAACUUCGUGCCAGCAGCCGCGGUAAUACGAAGGGUGCAAGCGUUGUUCGGAUUUACUGGGCGUAAAGCGUCCGUAGGUGGUUUGCUAAGUCAGAGGUGAAAUCCCAGGGCCCAACCCUGGAACUGCCUUUGAUACUGGCAAGCUGGAGCGCGAUAGAGGAAGAUGGAAUAUCUGG